GUGGGUAGUUUGACUGGGGCGGUCUCCUCCUAAAGAGUAACGGAGGAGCACGAAGGUUGGCUAAUCCUGGUCGGACAUCAGGAGGUUAGUGCAAUGGCAUAAGCCAGCUUGACUGCGAGCGUGACGGCGCGAGCAGGUGCGAAAGCAGGUCAUAGUGAUCCGGUGGUUCUGAAUGGAAGGGCCAUCGCUCAACGGAUAAAAGGUACUCCGGGGAUAACAGGCUGAUACCGCCCAAGAGUUCAUAUCGACGGCGGUGUUUGGCACCUCGAUGUCGGCUCAUCACAUCCUGGGGCUGAAGUAGGUCCCAAGGGUAUGGCUGUUCGCCAUUUAAAGUGGUACGCGAGCUGGGUUUAGAACGUCGUGAGACAGUUCGGUCCCUAUCUGCCGUGGGCGCUGGAGAACUGAGGGGGGCUGCUCCUAGUACGAGAGGACCGGAGUGGACGCAUCACUGGUGUUCGGGUUGUCAUGCCAAUGGCACUGCCCGGUAGCUAAAUGCGGAAGAGAUAAGUGCUGAAAGCAUCUAAGCACGAAACUUGCCCCGAGAUGAGUUCUCCCUGACUCCUUGAGAGUCCUGAAGGAACGUUGAAG
RNAcentral lists this ribosomal RNA (588 nucleotides) under Escherichia coli. Its description in RNAcentral is "partial 23S ribosomal RNA". It matches the Rfam family "Bacterial large subunit ribosomal RNA", at positions 2261 to 2843 of the family's 2925-position model. Lineage: Bacteria; Pseudomonadati; Pseudomonadota; Gammaproteobacteria; Enterobacterales; Enterobacteriaceae. The record is from RNAcentral.